RNAcentral lists this ribosomal RNA (291 nucleotides) under uncultured eukaryote. Its description in RNAcentral is "partial 18S ribosomal RNA". It matches the Rfam family "Eukaryotic small subunit ribosomal RNA", at positions 6 to 306 of the family's 1831-position model. The record is from RNAcentral.
GGUUGAUCCUGCCAGUAGUCAUAUGCUUGUCUCAAAGAUUAAGCCAUGCAUGUCUAAGUAUAAGCUUUUAUACAGUGAAACUGCGAAUGGCUCAUUAUAUCAGUUAUUGUUUAUUUGAUGGUACCUUUACUACUUGGAUAACCGUGGUAAUUCUAGAGCUAAUACAUGCAUCAAGCCCCGACUUCUGGUAGGGGUGUAUUUAUUAGAUAAAAGCCAACCCGGGCAACCGGUCCUUUGGUGAUUCAUAAUAACUUUUCGGAUCGCUCUCGUAGCGAUGGUUCAUUCAAAUUU